CUACGGGUUGCAGCAGUGAGGAAUAUUGCGCAAUGGGGGAAACCCUGACGCAGCGACGCCGCGUGGAUGAUGAAGGCCUUAGGGUCGUAAAAUCCUGUCAGGUGGGAAGAAGUGGAUAUAGAUUAAUACUCUAUUUCUUUGACGGUACCACCAAAGGAAGCACCGGCUAACUCCGUGCCAGCAGCCGCGGUAAUACGGAGGGUGCAAACGUUGUUCGGAAUUACUGGGCGUAAAGCGCGCGUAGGCGGUUUGUUAAGUCAGAUGUGAAAGUCCAUGGCUCAACUACGGAAGUGCAUUUGAAACUGGCAGACUUGAGUACUGGAGGGGGUGAUGGAAUUCCCGGUGUAGGGGUGAAAUUCGUAGAUAUCGGGAGGAAUACCGGUGGCGAAGGCGAUCACCUGGCCAGAUACUGACGCUGAGGUGCGAAAGCGUGGGGAGCAAACAGGAUUAGAUACCCCUGUAGUC
This 465-nucleotide ribosomal RNA is filed under the name uncultured bacterium. Its description in RNAcentral is "partial 16S ribosomal RNA". It matches the Rfam family "Bacterial small subunit ribosomal RNA", at positions 339 to 795 of the family's 1533-position model. The record is from RNAcentral.